UACGAAGGGGGCUAGCGUUGUUCGGAAUCACUGGGCGUAAAGCGCACGUAGGCGGAUGUGCCAGUCAGGGGUGAAAUCCCGGAGCUCAACUCCGGAACUGCCUCUGAUACAGCAUGUCUUGAGUCCGGAAGAGGUGGGUGGAAUUCCUAGUGUAGAGGUGAAAUUCGUAGAUAUCAGGAGGAACACCAGUGGCGAAGGCGGCUUUCUGGACGGUAACUGACGCUGAGACGCGAAAGCGUGGGGAGCAAACAGG
This 253-nucleotide ribosomal RNA is filed under the name uncultured bacterium. Its description in RNAcentral is "partial 16S ribosomal RNA". It matches the Rfam family "Bacterial small subunit ribosomal RNA", at positions 524 to 776 of the family's 1533-position model. The record is from RNAcentral.